Molecule: ribosomal RNA, 256 nt
Filed under: uncultured prokaryote
Description: partial 16S ribosomal RNA
Rfam family: Bacterial small subunit ribosomal RNA
Source: RNAcentral
UAAUACGUAGGGUGCGAGCGUUAAUCGGAAAUACUGGGCGUAAAGCGUGCGCAGGCGGUUGUGUAAGACAGGUGUGAAAUCCCCGGGCUUAACCUGGGAACUGCGCUUGUGACUGCACGGCUAGAGUACGGCAGAGGGGGGUGGAAUUCCACGUGUAGCAGUGAAAUGCGUAGAUAUGUGGAGGAACACCGAUGGCGAAGGCAGCCCCCUGGGCCGAUACUGACGCUCAUGCACGAAAGCGUGGGGAGCAAACAGG